UACGUAGGGGGCAAGCGUUGUCCGGAUUUAUUGGGCGUAAAGAGCGUGUAGGCGGCUAGGUAGGUCCGUUGUGAAAACUCGAGGCUCAACCUCGAGACGUCGAUGGAAACCAUCUGGCUAGAGUCCGGAAGAGGAGAGUGGAAUUCCUGGUGUAGCGGUGAAAUGCGCAGAUAUCAGGAAGAACACCCGUGGCGAAGGCGGCUCUCUGGUACGUGGCUGACGCUGAGACGCGAAAGCGUGGGGAGCGAACAGG
RNAcentral lists this ribosomal RNA (253 nucleotides) under uncultured bacterium. RNAcentral describes it as "partial 16S ribosomal RNA". It matches the Rfam family "Bacterial small subunit ribosomal RNA", at positions 524 to 776 of the family's 1533-position model. The record is from RNAcentral.